Molecule: long non-coding RNA, 850 nt
Organism: Manis pentadactyla (Chinese pangolin)
Lineage: Eukaryota; Metazoa; Chordata; Mammalia; Pholidota; Manidae
Exons: 2
Source: RefSeq, a predicted model, not a curated record
ACUUGGUUCAUUCACAUUCAUACUUUCAUCCACUUAUUAAUCCAGCAGAUAUUGAGGGCACAGACCCCAUGCUAAAUCAAAAGAAUGUUUUAACUUAACUUGGGGUUUACACUAAAUUAAACUUCCACAAGCAAAAUAACCUUUGUUACCAAAGGAAACAAGUAUCCCGUGUCACAUGCUUACUCCAGUCUCAGCUCCUGAAGACAGAGAGAGAUGUCCCUUGGCAUGGGACCCAGGGCUGCCCACAGAACCUUGCAUGUAGCUUCAGCAGGAAGAUCCUGGUUUCCAUCCCCUCUACCAGUUUACGCUGGGCAGUUGGACCUCGGGCUGGCUCUCAAGCGUUGCCUCUUCUGAUCACUUUCACAAAUGUGGGGGCUGCCUUGCUGACCCGUCCUGGUUCUGCUCCUGCUCUGUCCACACUGGGCUGGGGUGCCCCCAUCCGUUCUGCCCAGGCAGCUCCUAACCUGUUGCACCCCUUGGUCGGUCUUUGCUGCCCUUUUACAGGCCAGUCUUUACACCAGGAGAAAGGACUGCAAAAGAAGUUCUGAGCCCUUCAUGGGGGACAGUCAGAAACUCCAGUUCAAGGUGGGACCAUCUUCCAAUGUGCAAAGGGGAACAUUAGCGAAGGAAUGUGGCUUGCAAGGAUGCGCUGCCAUGCUGCUGUGUCCGUGGCUCUGGAAAAGGCCUCCAAGGCUCCUAAAACCUCCUCGGUGCCUACUAAUGUGGGAAACCUCUUUAAAACAUUCAGUUGCAUAAUUGGAGAAAAGUAAUUGAAGAAAAGGUUUAAAUUGUCUUGUGGGAGGCAAUAGCUUGACUAACAUUCCUACUUAAAAAUAAGUGACGAAACUCA